UAGAUCUCUGGUUAUCCACUCCCCAACUUGAUUUGUAGUUUCCUUGUAUCUCUGUUUAGCUCUUCUGUGUUAAUUAUUCUCCCCCUUCAGCUGCUCUGCUUUUCCUCUGCCCCAGCUGCUCCACAUCUCCUCUGAUUGCUCUUCUGGUUUGCCUGCCAUGUCUCUUCCCCUGUCUCAGUAUAUAUACUCACUGGUUCUCAUUGUUUUUCCUGGAUUCUUCUGUUGACUGCGUUUCUCUGGCUGUUUUUGCCAUGGCAGUUUCUUCCGUGUCAACAUUAGAGAAGAUUCAACGGUAGUUACUUCCAAUGUCAGUGAGGUGAUUUAAAAUGAAAUCGGUGGAAGCACAGAGAUGCAAGAAGCUAUUUAAAAGGUAAUUCAUGAGGCUGGUGCCAUGCUCCCAGAUCUUGGACGACUUGCAGGAGAGCUGAGUAGCACCAACGUUCUGGCUACGGUUCAACUCCUGGACCGCUGCAACCACUGCGUAUACCGCAUCAAAGAGCA
Long non-coding RNA from Girardinichthys multiradiatus, 501 nucleotides. RefSeq lists it as uncharacterized. The transcript has 3 exons. NCBI's taxonomy places the organism in Eukaryota, Metazoa, Chordata, Actinopteri, Cyprinodontiformes, Goodeidae. The record is from RefSeq and is a predicted model, not a curated record.